Molecule: long non-coding RNA, 296 nt
Organism: Choloepus didactylus (southern two-toed sloth)
Lineage: Eukaryota; Metazoa; Chordata; Mammalia; Pilosa; Megalonychidae
Exons: 3
Source: RefSeq, a predicted model, not a curated record
UGUCAUUCUGCCAUGUCGUUCCCCCAUGUGAUUCCUUUCUUAGCUUUAUAUGGUAUCUCCAGAACAAUGUUAAAUGGUAGUGGACAGCCUUACCUUGUUUCUGAGGUUCGUUUCCCUGGUAAGAAGAAGCUGACUCUUGGAUCAAGAUGGCACAGGAUUAAAGAAAAAUAAGACUUGGCCCCUUCUCUCACAAAGGUUACUUCACUUAAAUAAACGAACAUUGCAAGAGCUAUGACAGAAGUCUGAACAGGGUGCAGUGGGGACACCAAGGAGAGGAAAAGAGAGUACAGAGAAGG